AAGAACCUUACCUGGCCUUGACAUCCCGAUGACCGGCGUGUAAUGGCGCCUUUUCUUCGGAACAUUGGAGACAGGUGGUGCAUGGUUGUCGUCAGCUCGUGUCGUGAGAUGUUGGGUUAAGUCCCGCAACGAGCGCAACCCUUAUCUUCAGUAGCCAGCAAUUCGGUUGGGCACUCUGGAGAGACUGCCAGGGAGAACCUGGAGGAAGGUGGGGAUGACGUCAAAUCAUCAUGCCCCUUAUGGCCAGGGCUACACACGUGCUACAAUGGCGUAAACAAAGGGAAGCGAGCAUGUGAGUGUGAGCAAAUCUCAAAAAUAACGUCUCAGUUCGGAUUGUAGUCUGCAACUCGACUACAUGAAGCUGGAAUCGCUAGUAAUCGCGGAUCAGCAUGCCGCGGUGAAUACGUUCCCGGGUCUUGUACACACCG
This 428-nucleotide ribosomal RNA is filed under the name uncultured bacterium. RNAcentral's name for it is "bacterial SSU rRNA". It matches the Rfam family "Bacterial small subunit ribosomal RNA", at positions 964 to 1392 of the family's 1533-position model. The record is from RNAcentral.